GUGUCAAGCAAAGAAUGGAGAAGGUCCAAAGGAGAAAUUUAGAGAAAAUGUUGCUAGCAUUCCCCAGUGCUAGCAGCCUUCUCUCUAACCUUCUCCUUUGGACCUUCUCUUUUCUUCUCAUGACUU
This 126-nucleotide microRNA precursor is filed under the name Prunus dulcis (almond). Its description in RNAcentral is "sRNA ncRNA". The record is from RNAcentral. Lineage: Eukaryota; Viridiplantae; Streptophyta; Magnoliopsida; Rosales; Rosaceae.